This 1311-nucleotide long non-coding RNA is filed under the name Bos indicus x Bos taurus (hybrid cattle). RNAcentral's name for it is "lncRNA (ENSBIXG00005005876.1)". Lineage: Eukaryota; Metazoa; Chordata; Mammalia; Artiodactyla; Bovidae. The record is from RNAcentral.
CCCCGCCCCGGCCCCGCCCCCAGCCGUUCCCGCCCCGCCCCCGGCCCGCGUCGCCGUCUCUCGCCCUCCCCCGGCCGCGCGGCCGGAGCUGGCACUGAGCACCGGCGGCCGCGGCGGCCUCGCGUUUUGGCACGCCAGCGCCCCGCUGGACACGGCGUCCCCGAGAGCGCCCGGCGCGCGCGGAUCUGCCUUCCGCGGCCCCGGGCUGCCCGGGGGCGUCCGGCGCUCCCCGAGGGCGGGCGUGUCCGCGCGGCGCCGGGCGGGGCACGGGCGCGGGGCCUCAGCCUGUUGGAGCGCCGGGGGCGCCGGACCCGGGGGCUUCGGGAGCCCUGCGGGGGCCGGGCCGCCCGAGUCCCACGCAGAGCAGUGUUUUCCAACUCUCCGCCUGCGUCUCAUCGGGCCCACCACCACCCGGAGAGACCCCGUCCAGAUCUGCCGAGUGUCAUGAAAAAGGAACGGAAAAGAGACGUCACUGUUGGUGAAAGGGGAGUUUUCUUUCCCAGUUGAUGGUUACUUCGUGAUUGGAAAAGAAGUACCUAGGUGGUUGCAAAGAUUAGAUUUUCAUAGUUGUACAGAUGAAGCUGAUAAAAGAAGAUGAGAAUAUGCUUUCUCAGAUGGGUCAUAAUAGGCUGAUGAGUAAGUAAGCCUGACAAGACAGACUGGAAAUGAGGGCAGGAAUCUGGAAUGUUUUAAAACCAAGUAGGACUUUGAACACUUGCUGAGGAUUUUUUCUCCCAAAAAUGGAGGAAGAAAAAAAAAAUUCUCACAGCCAGAAGUGUAAAAAGCUGAGCGGAGUAACAACCCAGUCUGCUCCAAGGAUUUCAGUACUUCAUCAACUUCUUUGAGAGCACACAGACAAAGGCAUCAGACCUGUAUGAUGAGCUUGUCACCAGUGAUGGUAUCCUGUGCCAGGAAUGACUUCUUAAUUUGGAUUUUGGAGUGCUUUUUUUUUUUUUUUUACAAUGUGGGGUUUUUGACUCUCCAUGUUAGGUAGAUUUCUGUCACGGAAGUAACUUGUGAAUUCAUAGUAUUCUUGACUAUCUCCACUCCUGUUUGCUGUGUGACAUGGGAAAAUCAAGAGGCUUUAACAUUCCUUGAAGUUUUAUUGGAAGCAACACUGCAUCAGGGAGGCAGAUUCACAGUGUAAGUUUUCUCUUUUUGGCAACUGUACUUUGAAUGAGCCGAAUGUCAGCAGGAUUUCACAGCGCAUACAAUUUACAGUCUUUGUUUUAUCAAGGCCUUAAAUGUAUGUUUUAUACUCAGCAGAUGGGAAGCACAUUGAACGCUGCAUUUGACAUGUAUGCCUGAGGA